This is a long non-coding RNA of Esox lucius (northern pike), 2075 nucleotides long. The record is from Ensembl. Lineage: Eukaryota; Metazoa; Chordata; Actinopteri; Esociformes; Esocidae.
GGGAGUUUCCUGAUUUUUAAAGACCCCAGAUGCGCGCACACACACACACACACACACAUUGACAAAAAACACGAUGAGGCUGCCUCUGCCUGAUACCCCCCCCCCCCGCCCCCCUAUCCUUUUUUCUGAAUGGGUGUCCUCUUUUUAACCUCUCAUUGAGGCAAGUGUAACAGGACACUGCCCUCCGUCGCCACAAGCUCAGCCCCUUGUAGGAGAAUAUAAGAAGGCAGAGACUCGGCUCAGAGUGUGUGUGAGAGACUGUGUGUGAGAGAGAGUACGUAUAAGAGAGUGUGUGUGUGUGUGUGUGUGUGUGAGAGAGAGACAGAGUGUGUGUCUGACUGCGUCAGAGGGGCUGCGGAACAGGGGGAACAGGGGAGCCAGAGAGGGAUAGAAAGCCAGCGAGGAAGGAAGAGAGAGACAAAUGUUGAGGCGGACAGAGGGGACAAAAGGAGAAAGUCAGCUUCGUGGUGCUUUGUAACAUGGGUUUGUAGUGUCUUUCGGUAGGGCUUAGCUGUGAGAGCGAGUCGGCAACGGUGUCUCCAGUAUGCUGGGAAACCACCUUUAGACCAGAGAGAGAGAAGGGAGAGAGAGAGAGAGAGAGAAUGUGUGUGCUGGCUUCACCACAGCGCUGUCACUUUAAGCCUGUUACUGAUUACACUCAGAAGAAUGCAACCAGAGGAGUAGAAGACAGACACACAAAGUGGAGAGAGACGUGUAAGGACGGAUUCUGAAAAGUCUGGUUUAGUUUAGUUUCAGAGAAACGGUAAAGCUUUGGAGGAGUUAGAGAGACAAUACUCUCUCUUUUUCUCAGAGAGAAGCCAACUGAAGGGGAACCCCAGAAUAUCUGAGAGGGGGAGGGGGUAACAGACAGAGUGAAAGAAAGAGAAAUAAAAGGAGAGAAAUGGAGAGAAAGGGAGAGGGGGACCCCUCAAGUCUGCUGAGAAGCUCCCAGUCGUCAGGAGGAAAUGAUCAGAGAGGAAUGAAGACCACAACUACGAAGAUGGGGACUAUUCCAAGCAGCAGAACAGUUAACAUGGAUCCUUCAUCCGUAUCAAAGAGGACGGCCCUCGUCCAUCUUCCGGCCCCCUCCCACUCCGUCUGAUGUGCGUGUCGAUCAGUUGCUCAGUAGGCAGUGUAGAUCCUGUGUGAUCAUCAGCAGCUACAUCUGGCUACUGGGUCUCUGAAGACACGCCACUGCCCAAUUACCACUUCCUGCAGGAUUGGAGCCACCUCCUUUGCCCAUUGAUUGGCUAAUUGCACGUUACAUUCCCCUCUGAUUGGAUGAUAUGUUAUCAUGGAGCAGGGUGGGGGGAGGGGGCAUUACUUGUCAAGGCUUUAUUUUCUGCUUUUCCUCUUUUGUUUAUUUCUUUCAGUGUCUUUUUUCUUUUUCAUUUCUUAUUUUUCUUUACUAAACUUUUUUAGCGCGGCUGGCAAAAGCCAUUCAAACGGUUCUUGGUGUUCUUCUCAGAAUUGUUCUGUUCUCUAAAGAUGUUGACUGUCAGCUCACAAAAGAGAUUGACAAGAGCAGAAAAAAGCAAGCUUGAGUGGAAGGAGAUGUCAGACAUGUCAAGCACAAUAGUACAGAGCCUUUUACAGGGGGAAACAUUGUUUAGGCUGCAAUGCCAUCAGUUUGCCUAGAAAUCUCUCCUUAGAGAGCCGACAUGAUGAAAUGUCACAUUCAUUUUGUGUGUGUGUGUGUGUGUGUGUGUGCGUCUGUGUGACAAGACAUGCUGGCUUGGUCCUGGACCUAGCAUACAGUGUAAUUUCUGUGUGGUUUAAACAACAGCUACAUUGUCUGCUGGGUUUCAGGCUGGUGACAAAGGCACCGUUCAACACCUAAAUGAUCAAAUUAAUCAAUUACUCAACUAUUCAGCUCAAUGAGGUAAGUUGACAGCCGUGCUACCACGCUGUGUCACAUCAGGCAAACACGUCAGUAUUGAAGAACUUUUAAUAAAGUGAUCAAGUAUUCUUCCAAAGUGGCAUGAGUUAUUUUUCAUUGUGUGAAAUGGUCUUAUUGGAGAUGUCACAUUGGUAAUGUGUUUGGCCUGACAAUGCCAGUGAGCAGAAGCCCAAAC